Molecule: small nucleolar RNA, 83 nt
Filed under: Triticum urartu
Lineage: Eukaryota; Viridiplantae; Streptophyta; Magnoliopsida; Poales; Poaceae
Description: Small nucleolar RNA Z102/R77
Rfam family: Small nucleolar RNA Z102/R77
About the family: Z102 and R77 and are members of the C/D class of snoRNA which contain the C (UGAUGA) and D (CUGA) box motifs. Most of the members of the box C/D family function in directing site-specific 2'-O-methylation of substrate RNAs.
Source: Rfam by way of RNAcentral
AGAUGAGACGAUGAAUGAUUAAUUUUCCAAUUGGUUUGAUUGGUCAACAUGAUGGCCUAAUUACUGAACGAAUCUGAUCAUCC